GAGUUUGAUCCUGGCUCAGAACGAACGCUGGCGGCGCGCCUAAUACAUGCAAGUCGAGCGAGAAGACGUAGCAAUACGUUUGUAAAGCGGCGAACGGGUGAGGAAUACAUGGGUAACCUACCCUCGAGUGGGGAAUAACUAGCCGAAAGGUUAGCUAAUACCGCGUACGCUCCUUGGACUUCGGUUCAGGGAGGAAAGCGAUGCCGUGGGUAUCGCGCUCCUGGAUGGGCUCAUGUCCUAUCAGCUAGUUGGUGAGGUAACGGCUCACCAAGGCUUCGACGGGUAGCUGGUCUGAGAGGACGAUCAGCCACACUGGCACUGCGACACGGGCCAGACUCCUACGGGAGGCAGCAGUAAGGAAUAUUGCGCAAUGGGCGAAAGCCUGACGCAGCGACGCCGCGUGGGGGAUGAAGGUCUUCGGAUUGUAAACCCCUUUCGGGAGGGAAGAUGGAGCGAGCAAUCGUUCGGACGGUACCUCCAGAAGCAGCCACGGCUAACUUCGUGCCAGCAGCCGCGGUAAUACGAAGGUGGCAAGCGUUGUUCGGAUUUACUGGGCGUACAGGGAGCGUAGGCGGUUCGGUAAGCCCUCUGUGAAAUCUCCAGGCUUAACCUGGAACAGUCGGAGGGGACUGCCGGGCUAGAGGACGGGAGAGGAGCGCGGAAUUCCCGGUGUAGCGGUGAAAUGCGUAGAGAUCGGGAGGAAGGCCGGUGGCGAAGGCGGCGCUCUGGAACGUUUCUGACGCUGAGGCUCGAAAGCGUGGGGAGCAAACAGGAUUAGAUACCCUGGUAGUCCACGCCUU
RNAcentral lists this ribosomal RNA (800 nucleotides) under uncultured soil bacterium. RNAcentral describes it as "bacterial SSU rRNA". It matches the Rfam family "Bacterial small subunit ribosomal RNA", at positions 9 to 803 of the family's 1533-position model. The record is from RNAcentral.